Molecule: transfer RNA, 64 nt
Filed under: Leptopilina syphax
Lineage: Eukaryota; Metazoa; Arthropoda; Insecta; Hymenoptera; Figitidae
Description: tRNA-Trp
Source: RNAcentral
AUAAUUUUAAGUUAAUAAGACUAUUAAUUUUCAAAGUUAAAAGAAUAAAAUUUUUAUAAAUUAU